This 1346-nucleotide ribosomal RNA is filed under the name uncultured bacterium. RNAcentral describes it as "bacterial SSU rRNA". It matches the Rfam family "Bacterial small subunit ribosomal RNA", at positions 28 to 1381 of the family's 1533-position model. The record is from RNAcentral.
GACGAACGCUGGCGGCGUGCUUAACACAUGCAAGUCGAACGGAAAGGCCCUGCUUUUGUGGGGUGCUCGAGUGGCGAACGGGUGAGUAACACGUGAGUAACCUGCCCUUGACUUUGGGAUAACUUCAGGAAACUGGGGCUAAUACCGGAUAGGAGCUCCUGCUGCAUGGUGGGGGUUGGAAAGUUUCGGCGGUUGGGGAUGGACUCGCGGCUUAUCAGCUUGUUGGUGGGGUAGUGGCUUACCAAGGCUUUGACGGGUAGCCGGCCUGAGAGGGUGACCGGCCACAUUGGGACUGAGAUACGGCCCAGACUCCUACGGGAGGCAGCAGUGGGGAAUACUGCACAAUGGGCGGAAGCCUGAUGCAGCAACGCCGCGUGCGGGAUGACGGCCUUCGGGUUGUAAACCGCUUUCGCCUGUGACGAAGCGUGAGUGACGGUAAUGGGUAAAGAAGCACCGGCUAACUACGUGCCAGCAGCCGCGGUGAUACGUAGGGUGCGAGCGUUGUCCGGAUUUAUUGGGCGUAAAGGGCUCGUAGGUGGUUGAUCGCGUCGGAAGUGUAAUCUUGGGGCUUAACCCUGAGCGUGCUUUCGAUACGGGUUGACUUGAGGAAGGUAGGGGAGAAUGGAAUUCCUGGUGGAGCGGUGGAAUGCGCAGAUAUCAGGAGGAACACCAGUGGCGAAGGCGGUUCUCUGGGCCUUUCCUGACGCUGAGGAGCGAAAGCGUGGGGAGCGAACAGGCUUAGAUACCCUGGUAGUCCACGCUGUAAACGGUGGGUACUAGGUGUGGGGUCCAUUCCACGGGUUCCGUGCCGUAGCUAACGCUUUAAGUACCCCGCCUGGGGAGUACGGCCGCAAGGCUAAAACUCAAAGGAAUUGACGGGGCCCCGCACAAGCGGCGGAGCAUGCGGAUUAAUUCGAUGCAACGCGUAGAACCUUACCUGGGUUUGACAUGGAUCGGGAGCGCUCAGAGAUGGGUGUGCCUCUUUUGGGGUCGGUUCACAGGUGGUGCAUGGCUGUCGUCAGCUCGUGUCGUGAGAUGUUGGGUUAAGUCCCGCAACGAGCGCAACCCUUGUUCACUGUUGCCAGCACGUUAUGGUGGGGACUCAGUGGAGACCGCCGGGGUCAACUCGGAGGAAGGUGGGGAUGGCGUCAAGUCAUCAUGCCCCUUAUGUCCAGGGCUUCACGCAUGCUACAAUGGCUGGUACAGAGAGUGGCGAGCCUGUGAGGGUGAGCGAAUCUCGGAAAGCCGGUCUCAGUUCGGAUUGGGGUCUGCAACUCGACCUCAUGAAGUCGGAGUCGCUAGUAAUCGCAGAUCAGCAACGCUGCGGUGAAUACGUUCCCGGGGCU